GACGAACGCUGGCGGCAUGCCUAAUACAUGCAAGUCGAGCGAACAGAUGAAGUGCUUGCACUUCUGACGUUAGCGGCGAACGGGUGAGUAACACGUAAGGAAUCUACCUAUAAGCGGGGGAUAACAUUCGGAAACGGGUGCUAAUACCGCAUAAUAUCUUCUUCAGCAUGGAAGGAGAUUGAAAGACGGCUCUGCUGUCACUUAUAGAUGACCUUGCGGUGCAUUAGUUAGUUGGUGGGGUAACGGCCUACCAAGACGAUGAUGCAUAGCCGACCUGAGAGGGUGAGCGGCCACAUUGGGACUGAGACACGGCCCAAACUCCUACGGGAGGCAGCAGUAGGGAAUCUUCCGCAAUGGGCGAAAGCCUCAAGGAGCAAUGCCGCGUGAGUGAAGAAGGCCUUCGGGUCGUAAAACUCUCGAAUAAGAGAAGAACAAAUUGAAGAGUAACUGCUACAGUCUUGACGGUAUCUUAUCAGAAAGCCACGGCUAACUACGUGCCAGCCGCCGCCGUAA
This 513-nucleotide ribosomal RNA is filed under the name uncultured bacterium. RNAcentral's name for it is "partial 16S ribosomal RNA". It matches the Rfam family "Bacterial small subunit ribosomal RNA", at positions 28 to 523 of the family's 1533-position model. The record is from RNAcentral.